Molecule: non-coding RNA, 27 nt
Filed under: Mus musculus (house mouse)
Lineage: Eukaryota; Metazoa; Chordata; Mammalia; Rodentia; Muridae
Source: RNAcentral
UGUUCAAAUCCUAACUGAGUAUUUUCU